This 465-nucleotide ribosomal RNA is filed under the name uncultured bacterium. Its description in RNAcentral is "partial 16S ribosomal RNA". It matches the Rfam family "Bacterial small subunit ribosomal RNA", at positions 28 to 507 of the family's 1533-position model. The record is from RNAcentral.
GAUGAACGCUGGCGGCGUGCUUAACACAUGCAAGUCGAACGGAAAGGCCCUGCUUGCAGGGUACUCGAGUGGCGAACGGGUGAGUAACACGUGGGUGAUCUGCCCUGCACUUCGGGAUAAGCCUGGGAAACUGGGUCUAAUACCGGAUAGGAGCCAUUUUUAGUGUGAUGGUUGGAAAGUUUUUUCGGUGUAGGAUGAGCUCGCGGCCUAUCAGCUUGUUGGUGGGGUAAUGGCCUACCAAGGCGGCGACGGGUAGCCGGCCUGAGAGGGUGGACGGCCACAUUGGGACUGAGAUACGGCCCAGACUCCUACGGGAGGCAGCAGUGGGGAAUAUUGCACAAGGGGCGCAAGCCUGAUGCAGCGACGCCGCGGGGGGGAUGACGGCCUUCGGGUUGUAAACUCCUUUCGCUAGGGACGAAGCUUUUUGUGACGGUACCUAGAUAAGAAGCACCGGCUAACUACGUG